RNAcentral lists this long non-coding RNA (872 nucleotides) under Solanum tuberosum (potato). RNAcentral's name for it is "long non-coding RNA (STUB_LNC011213)". Lineage: Eukaryota; Viridiplantae; Streptophyta; Magnoliopsida; Solanales; Solanaceae. The record is from RNAcentral.
UUAUAUCAUAUAUUAAUAUGAAUAUUAUAAAGAAAGUUAUAGUAAAUCUCGUAUAAUUUUCGAAUAUCAAAAAUUUAAAAUUUAAAAUAGUAAAUUAAUUUAACUUUAAAAGCUAACGAAACAAAAAAAAAAAGGGUGGCAUGGAUACUCGAAGCAAUCUGCAACAGGAAAAUAUGAAGAUUUAGCUUUCAGAUUGCAAAAGUAAAGACAAAAUUAGAAAAAAGAAAACGCACACGAAGAAGAAGAAGAAAAAAAACAGAUUUCCCAAAUGAAAUUACAGAUCAAUACGGAGAUAAUCAGUUAUUUAUUAUUUUUUUUGAAGAAAAUUAGAAUGAAGUAGCUUGAGAUGAAAUAAAAAAAAGAGAAAAAUGGUAACUACCUUCAUCUUCAGGCAAAAGUUGAGCGUUGAGAGAUCUGAAACACAGAAAGAGAAAUAAAGCACAAAAUCGUAUACAAGUAGUAUCCAUUGUCGCUCGAAGAAAUUCAAUUUUAAUUACAAAUGUUGUAUAAGAAAAAAAGGAAGAUACAAUUAGAGGAACACAAUAUAUAGAAAGGGGAGUAGUGAGUAGAAAUUACUAACCAUAAAUGAAGAAUUUGAAAGUCGUCUGAUCGGUGGCUAGGAGAUUAAAAUAAACCCUAGUUGAAAAAUCAGUCAACAAGGGUCUUUCUUCUAUGUUUUAGAAAAAAGUUAACAGAGGGGGUCAGGUGGGCUCCUAUGUUUUCUAGCUGAAUGAUUUUGACUGGGCUUCUCCAUUUGCAGGAUUUAUUUAUUUGUACGAAUAAAUUAAACGGUGUAGGUUCGUCUGACAUAUAUUAGCAAAAAUAAUGCAUAUAUUAAUUAUUUGAAUUAAUAAUUUUUUUUUCAUGUUUUG